Molecule: ribosomal RNA, 891 nt
Filed under: Francisella sp. Belarus-450
Lineage: Bacteria; Pseudomonadati; Pseudomonadota; Gammaproteobacteria; Thiotrichales; Francisellaceae
Also listed under: 1 other name
Description: bacterial SSU rRNA
Rfam family: Bacterial small subunit ribosomal RNA
Source: RNAcentral
UAAAGGUGGCUUUCGGGCUGUCGCAGAUGGAUGAGCCUGCGUUGGAUUAGCUAGUUGGUGGGGUAAGGGCCCACCAAGGCUACGAUCCAUAGCUGAUUUGAGAGGAUGAUCAGCCACAUUGGGACUGAGACACGGCCCAAACUCCUACGGGAGGCAGCAGUGGGGAAUAUUGGACAAUGGGGGCAACCCUGAUCCAGCAAUGCCAUGUGUGUGAAGAAGGCCCUAGGGUUGUAAAGCACUUUAGUUGGGGAGGAAAGCCUCAAGGUUAAUAGCCUUGGGGGAGGACGUUACCCAAAGAAUAAGCACCGGCUAACUCCGUGCCAGCAGCCGCGGUAAUACGGGGGGUGCAAGCGUUAAUCGGAAUUACUGGGCGUAAAGGGUCUGUAGGUGGUUUGUUAAGUCAGAUGUGAAAGCCCAGGGCUCAACCUUGGAACUGCAUUUGAUACUGGCAAACUAGAGUACGGUAGAGGAAUGGGGAAUUUCUGGUGUAGCGGUGAAAUGCGUAGAGAUCAGAAGGAACACCAAUGGCGAAGGCAACAUUCUGGACCGAUACUGACACUGAGGGACGAAAGCGUGGGGAUCAAACAGGAUUAGAUACCCUGGUAGUCCACGCUGUAAACGAUGAGUACUAGCUGUUGGAGUCGGUGUAAAGGCUCUAGUGGCGCAGCUAACGCGAUAAGUACUCCGCCUGGGGACUACGGCCGCAAGGCUAAAACUCAAAGGAAUUGACGGGGACCCGCACAAGCGGUGGAGCAUGUGGUUUAAUUCGAUGCAACGCGAAGAACCUUACCUGGUCUUGACAUCCUGCGAACUUUCUAGAGAUAGAUUGGUGCCUUCGGGAACGCAGUGACAGGUGCUGCACGGCUGUCGUCAGCUCGUGUUGUGAAAUGU